Molecule: ribosomal RNA, 1218 nt
Filed under: uncultured Rhizaria
Lineage: Eukaryota
Description: SSU rRNA
Rfam family: Eukaryotic small subunit ribosomal RNA
Source: RNAcentral
CGGUAAUUCCAGCUCCAAUAGCGUAUACUAAAGUUGUUGCAGUUAAAAAGCUCGUAGUUGGAUUUCUGCGGGGACGGAGCGGCCGGACGCAACUUGCGUCUCGAGCUAGCGCUUUCCCCGCAUCCUGCCGCGAACCGUGCUACCAUUAGCUUGGUGGCGCUGGGGAUCGGCUCGAUUACUUUGAGAAAAAUAGAGUGUUCAAAGCAGGCCACACGCCUUGAAUAAGUUAGCAUGGAAUAAUGACUAAGGACUUCGGUUCUAUUUUGUUGGUGUUCGGGACUGAAGUAAUGAUUGAUAGGGACAGUUGGGGCGGUCUGUAUUCCAAAGCGAGAGGUGAAAUUCUUAGACCUUCGGAAGACAAACAGCUGCGAAAGCGUUCCGCAAGGAUGUUCCCUUUGAUCAAGAACGAAAGUUGGGGGAUCGAAGACGAUCAGAUACCGUCGUAGUCUCAACUAUAAACUAUACCAGCUAGGGAUCGGUCAACGUUUAAUCAUUCGACUUGAUCGGCACCUUAUGAGAAAUCAAAGCAUCUGGGUUCCGGGGGGAGUAUGGUCGCAAGGCUGAAACUUAAAGGAAUUGACGGAAGGGCACCACCAGCCGUGGAGCCUGUGGCUUAAUUUGACUCAACACGGGAAAACCUACCAGGUCCAGACAUAGUAAGGAUUGACAGAUUGAUAGCUCUUUCUUGAUUCUGUGGGUGGUGGUGCAUGGCCGUUCUUAGUUGGUGGAGUGAUUUGUCUGGUUAAUUCCGUUAACGAACGAGACCCCAGCCUGCUAAAUAGCGCGGCUGAGCUUUGCUCGGUGCGAGCUUCUUAGAGGGACUAUGAUGCGCGAUAGCACAUGGAAGUUUGGGGCAAUAACAGGUCUGUGAUGCCCUUAGAUGUUCUGGGCCGCACACGGGCUACACUGGCGCCUGCAACGAGCAUAUCAGCUGGCCCGAGAGGGUCUUGGCUAAUCUUUUGAACCGGCGCCGUGCUUGGGAUUGACCAUUGCAAUUGUUGGUCAUGCAACGAGGAAUGCCUUGUAAACGCGAGUCAUCAGCUCGCAUUGAAUACGUCCCUGCCCUUUGUACACACCGCCCGUCGCUCCUACCGAUGAAUGUUCCGAUGAAAUUUUCGGAGAGCGCCAGAGAACGGGGCUCCGCCUUGCAGAUCUGGAGGCUCAAAGUCACCUAAAUCUGAACAUUUCGAGGAAGGAGAAGUCGUAACAAGGUAGCCG